Molecule: ribosomal RNA, 443 nt
Filed under: Shewanella sp.
Lineage: Bacteria; Pseudomonadati; Pseudomonadota; Gammaproteobacteria; Alteromonadales; Shewanellaceae
Description: partial 16S rRNA
Source: RNAcentral
AUGCAGUUCCCAGGUUGAGCCCGGGGCUUUCACAUCUCGCUUAACAGACCGCCUGCGCGCGCUUUACGCCCAGUAAUUCCGAUUAACGCUUGCACCCUCCGUAUUACCGCGGCUGCUGGCACGGAGUUAGCCGGUGCUUCUUCUGUGGGUAACGUCACAGCUGAUAGGUAUUAACCAACUGCCUUUCCUCCCCACUGAAAGUGCUUUACAACCCGAAGACCUUCUUCACACACGCGGCAUGGCUGGAUCAGGGUUUCCCCCAUUGUCCAAUAUUCCCCACUGCUGCCUCCCGUAGGAGUCUGGACCGUGUCUCAGUUCCAGUGUGGCUGACCAUCCUCUCAGAACAGCUAGGGAUCGUCGCCUAGGUGAGCCAUUACCUCACCUACUAGCUAAUCCCACCUGGGCCUAUCCGAUCGCGAGAGGUCCGAAGAUCCCCCGCUUUC